GGGGAAAUAGCUCAGUUGGUAGAGUAUUUGCCUUGCAUGCCCAAGGCCCUGGGUUUGAUCCCCAGCACCACCA
RNAcentral lists this transfer RNA (73 nucleotides) under Ictidomys tridecemlineatus (thirteen-lined ground squirrel). RNAcentral describes it as "Spermophilus tridecemlineatus (thirteen-lined ground squirrel) tRNA". It matches the Rfam family "tRNA". Rfam says of the family: Transfer RNA (tRNA) molecules are approximately 80 nucleotides in length. Lineage: Eukaryota; Metazoa; Chordata; Mammalia; Rodentia; Sciuridae. The record is from Rfam by way of RNAcentral.